RNAcentral lists this long non-coding RNA (393 nucleotides) under Chrysemys picta bellii (western painted turtle). RNAcentral's name for it is "lncRNA (ENSCPBG00000020843.1)". Lineage: Eukaryota; Metazoa; Chordata; Testudines; Emydidae. The record is from RNAcentral.
AUAGAAGUUCUUGAGCUUCUCUUCAGCCUUCUGCUCCCUGUCCUAUCUCCCCCAUUUAAAAAUCAAGGAUGGAUAAUUGCAGUUAAAUGCAGGGUGUCCCAGGUGAAGCAAAUUCAGUGCAGUUCUCCUGUGUGAGAGAAGGAGGAAUUUAAGAACACAAGCAAGGAGUUUGAGAUGGAUUCCAUACUCAGGAGUGAUUGAGGAUGGAUUUUUAUUAGUAUUCAUUUCUAUGCCACUCAUCACCACAGGAUCUGAGCAACUCCUGAACAGGCAAGAAUACCCCUGUGAGGUUAGGUAAGCAUUAGAACUGGUCAAAACAUUUCUGACAAAAUGUGUUUUUCACUGGAAAAUGCCAUUUAAAAAAAAAUUGAAACUUUCUGCAAGAAUGUGUAG